This is a non-coding RNA of Malus domestica (apple), 3906 nucleotides long. The record is from RefSeq and is a predicted model, not a curated record. NCBI's taxonomy places the organism in Eukaryota, Viridiplantae, Streptophyta, Magnoliopsida, Rosales, Rosaceae.
UCUUCACUCAAGAUAGGCAUUCAGAUUCUGCAACAUGGUUAAUUAUGCUCUAAGGAAAUGAGCUUUCUUGCUAACAGAGGCACGAAUGCCAAUUGAACAAACAGCCACCCAAACGAAAGGCAUAAAUCCAUGUAGGAAGUCGAUCUUUACACAAGAAAGACAUUCAGAUUCUGUACAUGGUUAAUUAUGCUCUAAGGAAAUGAGCCUGCUUGCUGACAGUAGCAAUAAUAAAUUCACUCAUAAAAGUUGCUGUUAUUCCUUUCUCUCCGCGGAGAGUAAAUCGCAGAAGAGGGAGACGUGUAUAGAGGGAAAAGAGAAGUGCUUUUUGUUUUGUUUCUUUCACAUAAAAGUUGCCUCUUUCUUUCACAUUCGUCCUUUUUUUUUCUUUGGUACCAUAUUCCCAUCUUCGUUUUGGUAACUAACGCAAAGAAUCUUGCUUUACAGAAAGCAAACAGGAAGACCUACGCGGUAUAUUUAUAUCCAUUGUCUAUAUAAACUAGGUAGAAGAAAAGCAAUGGCACACAACCACAUCCUGCAUUUCUUUAAUUCCUAUACACUUUCCUUUUUCCAACUAUUCUCUUUUUCCUCUGUCAACCAAUUUCUAAGUUCCUUACCCUAAAAAUGGCCGAUGCCCUUAUCUCCACACUACUAGAAAAGUUAGCCUCAAUGGCUUAUGAAUACGUAGCCGAAGAGGUGAAACUUGUUUUGAACGUUGAGAAAGAAGUUAAAGAAUUUGCUCGCAAUCUAAAAGCAAUUCGGGCUGUGCUUGAGGAUGCAGAGCAAAGGCAAGUGAAAGAGGCCAACGUGAGAGACUGGUUGGAUAAUCUCAAGGAAAUAUCCUUCGACAUGGUAGAUGUGCUGGAUGACUGGAAGAGUGAGAUUUUGAGGCAACAAGUGGAGAAGCAAGAAAGGGAAGGCACAAGUGUUGUUGUUCCUAAGAAAAAGGUAUGUUUCCCUAUUGUCCCCUGUUGCUUUUGUUGUGGUCAUGUUGGGCGGGUAAUUCCUCGUCAUAAAAUCGCUCAAGAGAUUAAGGAUCUGAAUGAGAGGUUAACUACGAUCUAUAAGCAAAGAAAAAUCUAUAAUUUUCAACUUAUAGAUAAGGGCAUUCAAAAACCUCAAACCUCGUCUUUUGUCGAUGUAUCUGGGAUAUUUGGCCGAGAAACAGAAAAGGAUAGUUUGGUAAGGAAGUUAGUGAGUGACGAAGAAGGGAGGGGGCUCCUCAUCAUUCCUAUUGUAGGGAUGGGAGGAAUGGGGAAGACAACUUUAGCCCAACUAGCCUAUAAUGAUGCCAACGUCGAUGCCCAUUUUCAGAAAAAAAAAUGGAUUUGUGUGUCAGACCCUUUUGACGUCAUGAAGAUUGCAAAAGCCAUUAGCGAUGAGUUCACAAGUUCAAAUGAGUUGGAUGAUGUCUUACAAUGUAUGUCUAGAUCUAUUAAGGGAAAAAAGCUUCUCCUAGUAUUGGAUGAUGUGUGGAAUGAAGAUAGUAGCCAGUGGAACCAAUUAAAGGUACCACUGAUGCAAAAUAGUGUUGAAGGUAGUAGAAUAUUGGUCACCACAAGAAAAGAAAAGGUUGCUAGUAUGAUGAGAUCAACCACCUUCACGAUAAAUCUUGGAGGGUUGAGCGAACAACAUUGUUUGUCAAUCUUCAAUCACAUGGCAUUUUCUAAUAGGGAAGCAGAUGAGUAUGGGGUGUUUGGAGAUAUUAGUAGGGAAAUUGUAAAGAAGUGUAAGGGCUUGCCUCUUGUUGCAAAGACUUUGGGUAGUCUCAUGCGUGACAAGAGAACAAUGAAGGAAUGGAAAGAUGUUUUGAAUAGUAAGAUAUGGGAUUGGAAAGAAGGGGAGGAAGAAGUUUUCCAACCACUGCUUCUAAGUUAUUAUGAUUUGAUCCCUGUAGAUAGAUGUUGCCUUUUAUAUUGUGGAAUUUUCCCCAAAGAUUACGAGUUAGAGAGGGAUAUAUUGAUAAAUCUUUGGAUGGCACAAGAUUAUCUUGAUUCGGAAGAGAAUAAAGAUAAGGGUAUAAUUGGCAACAUUGUUUUUGAUAACUUAGUUGCACGGUCGUUUUUCCAAGAUUUUAAGAAAGAUGUUAGUGGUAAGAUUAUAGGUUGUAAAAUGCAUGAUAUUGUACAUGACUUUGUGCACUUUCUCACCAAGAAGGAAUGUUUGAUUACGGAGGCUAAUCAAGGUGCUAAUAGUGAGAUAGAGGUAUUGGUCAACAAGGUUCGCCAUUUAACCUUAACAUAUGUUCUCGACAGUUCAAAUUCACUUCCUACCUCAUGUUACAAUUGCAAAAAACUACGUACCCUCGCAGUUUUUUGCCCAAGACCAUCACGCAUAGACACAAGUUUAGUUUUGCGAUUGAAAUGUCUUAGGACAUUAAAUUUGAUUGAUAAUUCCAUUGAAGAACUUCCAGAGGAGAUUAGUCAAUUGGUACAUUUGAGGCAUCUUGAUUUGUCUGGCAAUUCUGGUUUGGAGAAAUUACCAGACUCUAUUUGUAGUUUAUACAAUUUGUAUACCUUGGCCAUUUGUUAUUGCUAUUCACUUUCAAAAUUGCCUCGUAACAUGAGCAAGUUGAUUAAUUUAAGGCAUCUUUAUGUGAUGGAAUCUGGUCUGGAGUACUUGCCAAUUGGGAUAGGGAGAUUAACAAGUUUGCAAACAUUAGAUGAGUGUCGUGUGUUUUUUGGUCGCAAUGACGAAGCAUUCAAAUUUGGGGAUCUGAGAACCUUGAACAACCUUCGGGGCAGUCUCAACAUAACAUUUAGGGGGGAUUUGAAUGAUGUAAGCGAGGUUGUGGAACUACCAUUGGUUGACAACAAACAAAUUUUUAAUCUCCAAAUUGAUUGGGAGUUUGAACCCCCUAUGACUCCAGAGAGUAGUCUUCAAAUACUGAAUGCCUUACAACCGCAAGAAGAUUUGGAAUCUUUAGUCAUUAAAGGGAUUGUGGCUCCCACCUGGCCGAAAUGGUUGACGUGUUUAAACAGGUUGAGAUUCCUUACUCUUAGUGAUUGUGGAAAUUGGGAAACUUUGCCUCCUCUUGGUAAAUUGCCCUUCCUUGAAAGACUGAAUCUAUCGUUUAUGGGGCGUAUAGAAAAGGUUGGUGGUGAAUUUUUGGGACUAGAAGAUGACCAAGCAGCAUUCAAAUCAUCCUCCGCAGUAUUCCCAAAACUGAAAGACCUUGGCUUUUGUGGGUUGCCGAAUUGGAAAGAGUGGGAAGGCGUGAACGGGUGGGCGAAAGAGGAUUCUAAAUUUCCUACAAUCAUGCCUUGUCUUUCUUCCUUGACUAUUGGGUACUGUUCAACGCUAGAAACACUGCCAGAUUUCCUCAGCAAAAUACCACUUCAGAAUCUUACCAUCCAGAAUUGUCGGAAACUUACCGAUCGUUGCACAGAAGCGAGUGGAGAGGAGUGGCCUAAGAUUUCUCACAUCCAAAAAAUCAUCCGCCUCUAAAUCUUCAACUAUUAAUUACUAAUGGUGGCUCGCAAAGACAUAUUCUGUGUGUAAUCCUAUUUGAAAAGUAAAAAUAUUUGUUCAUAUCGUUUCAGGGAAUCUCGUGAUGAAGCUAAAAGGGUGAUCAUGUAGAGACCACUGAAGUAUGCCUCCCGAGGUCUCGGGCUGUUGCACUGUAUGAAUUUUAUUAUUUGGAUUCCAUCGAUUUCAGGGUUUCAAUGUGAAUGAAUUCACAAUAAUGUCUUUUUUUAUUAUAGUUAUGCUGGGGUGGAAGUGACAUUGUUGUUUUAAUUUAAAAAAGAGUUUCAGUGUGGAUUUGUUACAUCUUGUAUAUAUUGGUUGUUUGAGGUUUGUUUGUUAUGAUUGCUGUCAUGAUCAAUAUCGGACUUUAUGUCCCCUUUGAUAGAUUGUACUUCCCUUUUUUAUUAUAAAUAAAUCUACUAUUGAGAAUUUUAAUGUGAA